Molecule: ribosomal RNA, 449 nt
Filed under: uncultured bacterium
Lineage: Bacteria
Description: partial 16S ribosomal RNA
Rfam family: Bacterial small subunit ribosomal RNA
Source: RNAcentral
GCCCAGACUCCUACGGGAGGCAGCAGUGGGGAAUAUUGCACAAUGGGGGAAACCCUGAUGCAGCGACGCCGCGUGAGCGAUGAAGUAUUCCGGUAUGUAAAGCUCUAUCAGCAGGGAAGAAAAUGACGGUACCUGACUAAGAAGCCCCGGCUAACUACGUGCCAGCAGCCGCGGUAAUACGUAGGGGGCAAGCGUUAUCCGGAUUUACUGGGUGUAAAGGGAGCGUAGACGGCAAUGCAAGCCAGAUGUGAAAGCCCGGGGCUCAACCCCGGGACUGCAUUUGGAACUGUGUAGCUGGAGUGUCGGAGAGGCAGGCGGAAUUCCUAGUGUAGCGGUGAAAUGCGUAGAUAUUAGGAGGAACACCAGUGGCGAAGGCGGCCUGCUGGACGAUGACUGACGUUGAGGCUCGAAAGCGUGGGGAGCAAACAGGAUUAGAUACCCCCGUAGUG